Molecule: long non-coding RNA, 527 nt
Organism: Peromyscus maniculatus bairdii (prairie deer mouse)
Lineage: Eukaryota; Metazoa; Chordata; Mammalia; Rodentia; Cricetidae
Source: RefSeq, a predicted model, not a curated record
GGCAACAUCAGCACUGAGCAGGGGCUGUCUGACUAUAGAGCCCAAGGUCUUAACCAUUGCACUCAUCCAAGGAAGAAGACUAGGAUAAGAGUCAGAGAGGAUCAGAAGCUAAACGCUCUGCUUCAUGGAAUGUCACCUGGAAGGCAGUGCAGCAACCUGAGGAGAGCAAGCCUCAGCCUCAGCCUCAGAGCCUCUAGCUGCAGCAUGGACAAGAGACGACAGUGACACUGAGCACCUACUGCUGCUCUCAUCUCCCGCAUGCGGUUUUAGGCAGUGAAGACUACAUGGGCAUGAAAAGCACUUAGAAUAUCAGCUGGCACCUAUAAUGGAGAGCUGACCACUCACUAUUACAUCACCUGAUGAAUUCCAUCCACCUAGCCCAUCUGCGGGGGACAGAAGGGAAUUUCAAAGCAAUUUCACUUUUCUCAGAAAUGUUUAAUUUUUCAUUACAUGAACCAUCCGAACGUGUGUUAUAAUUAGCAUUGUUUGUUAAGACAGCAAGAUAGAGAUACAACUGAACAGCAAAA